Long non-coding RNA from Anolis carolinensis (green anole), 235 nucleotides. RefSeq lists it as uncharacterized. The transcript is spliced from 2 exons. NCBI's taxonomy places the organism in Eukaryota, Metazoa, Chordata, Lepidosauria, Squamata, Anolidae. The record is from RefSeq and is a predicted model, not a curated record.
UUGGAGAGGAUUCUGGGACUCAACACCACUUGCUGUAUUAAUAGCAUGUAUUAAUAUCUAUCUAUCCUUUAGAUGGAUAGAAAGAUAGACAGAAAGCCCACAUUGGUGUAGGUUUCAAGGCGCUUUUGUGGCACGUUGUGAAGAAACGCAGAAAUGGCAAAGCCUUGUGAAACGGACGGAAGAAAUAAAGGCAAAAUUUUUGAAAAUUUCCACAGCUUUUUCUGAAGGGACCAGG